This 717-nucleotide long non-coding RNA is filed under the name Capsicum annuum. RNAcentral's name for it is "long non-coding RNA (CANN_LNC008848)". The record is from RNAcentral. Lineage: Eukaryota; Viridiplantae; Streptophyta; Magnoliopsida; Solanales; Solanaceae.
AACCAUAAAUACAAAUUGCAUGGAGAAUACUCAGAUGGGGUGGAAAAGAACAAUAUAAAAAGAAACAUCAGCAAAAAACAUGAACGUGACCCAAAAAGAAGUUCAUUACACCCAAUCAAGCAAGUUAACUAAUGAUUAGUUUUAAGAGAGCAUACAAAAGUUGAACAAGGAGCUGUAGAGUUUCCAGGAUGGAGAGAAAGGGGGAGAGGUUGUGGGUGAGAGUUUUGGCCAUUCUCAUCACUGCCCACCAGAUGAUGAACUUCAACCAGAUCAAAGAUUCCUUUUGGAUUAGACAUGAUGAAUAGAGUAAAAGAGGUUGAGUUUUAAACUGAAUAGAAGGUGGAGGAGAGUAAACAGUCAAAAUGAAGAUAUUUGUGAUUAAUGUGCAAUAGUAAAUCUCCAGUUAUCCUGUUGGUAGUUCUCUGUAGUAAAGGUAAAGGUUCAUUGUGGUCGGACUUGUUUACCAAUCUCUGCAUCAUCAAAUUUAUAGAUCAAGCACUUCUCUUCCAAACUCCAAAUAAAGGUGGGAAGAUCUGGAAGGUUAAGUAUCUUUGUAACAGAUAUUGUAUCACCAUAUUGGUCAUAGAAUUUGAAGAAGAAGAAAGUAGUGGUGAGACUUGUGAGUGGUGCAAGGUGUAGAGAGAGAGAGUGCAGAUGAUCAGGAAGGAAAAGUUCCAAGUCUUGCAGUGUUGCUAAACUAUUUAGUUUCUCAUAGAA